AAGGUUGAUUGCACUUUCAACGA
RNAcentral lists this small nuclear RNA (23 nucleotides) under Arabidopsis thaliana (thale cress). RNAcentral describes it as "snRNA_09979". Lineage: Eukaryota; Viridiplantae; Streptophyta; Magnoliopsida; Brassicales; Brassicaceae. The record is from RNAcentral.